AUCGAAAGGCCACAAGGGCGUUUACCCCCCUUUUCCGAGGAGGAAAAUCAAGUCCUUGUUGCAAGUUAUUUCCAAAGACACUCCCAAAUCCGGGGCCUGGGCAUCUCCCGUGCGAGUGCUCCUGAAAGAGAACGCCUAUGGGAGCAGAUCGCUGUGGCAGUGAGUGCAGUGGGAGGCCGUGCUCGCCGUACCUCUGACAAGGUGCAGAAGCACUUAAAUGACCUGGUGGGGCGGCUCAGGAAGUUACUGGGCACGUGGGCUCGCCAGGGGUAUGUGACCAGGUGGGGUGUGGCUCCAUCCCAUCUGAGCCAGCUCAGGGAAUAUCAGAGGCAAUUGCUGGAUAUCAUCAGCCUGGAGACAGUUGUUGGUGCCGCUUCUCAGGAUGACACUGAUGAUAUCCAGCAUGCCCAAAGUCCUGUGUCAUCUCCCCCUGGCAGCCCCUCUGGCCAGCAACAACCCGAAGAGCCGCCCACACAGACUGAACAGGUCUCCCCUGCAACACACCAGCAGGAGGAGGAGGCAGCGGCGCCGAGCACCUUCCCACUGCAGCGAACCCAGGAGGAAGAUCUAGGUAGGAUGUUUUUAAUCACUU
Long non-coding RNA from Rana temporaria (common frog), 592 nucleotides. RefSeq lists it as uncharacterized. The record is from RefSeq and is a predicted model, not a curated record. The transcript has 3 exons. Lineage: Eukaryota; Metazoa; Chordata; Amphibia; Anura; Ranidae.